This 541-nucleotide ribosomal RNA is filed under the name uncultured bacterium. RNAcentral describes it as "bacterial SSU rRNA". It matches the Rfam family "Bacterial small subunit ribosomal RNA", at positions 173 to 715 of the family's 1533-position model. The record is from RNAcentral.
AUCAUGAGUUCACAUGUCCGCAUGAUUAAAGGUAUUUUCCGGUAGACGAUGGGGAUGCGUUCCAUUAGAUAGUAGGCGGGGUAACGGCCCACCUAGUCAACGAUGGAUAGGGGUGCUGAGAGGAAGGUCCCCCACAUUGGAACUGAGACACGGUCCAAACUCCUACGGGAGGCAGCAGUGAGGAAUAUUGGUCAAUGGGCGAUGGCCUGAACCAGCCAAGUAGCGUGAAGGAUGACUGCCCUAUGGGUUGUAAACUUCUUUUAUAAAGGAAUAAAGUCGGGUAUGCAUACCCGUUUGCAUGUACUUUAUGAAUAAGGAUCGGCUAACUCCGUGCCAGCAGCCGCGGUAAUACGGAGGAUCCGAGCGUUAUCCGGAUUUAUUGGGUUUAAAGGGAGCGUAGAUGGAUGUUUAAGUCAGUUGUGAAAGUUUGCGGCUCAACCGUAAAAUUGCAGUUGAUACUGGAUGUCUUGAGUGCAGUUGAGGCAGGCGGAAUUCGUGGUGUAGCGGUGAAAUGCUUAGAUAUCACGAAGAACUCCGAUUG